GGUACCACUGUAUACAAAAAUUAAAAAUUGGAACAAUACAAAGAUUAGGAUGGCCCCCGUGCAAGGAUAACAGCAAAUUCAUGAAGUGUUCCAUAUUAAA
Podarcis lilfordi (Lilford's wall lizard) is the source of this 100-nucleotide non-coding RNA. Lineage: Eukaryota; Metazoa; Chordata; Lepidosauria; Squamata; Lacertidae. The record is from the annotation of a GenBank genome assembly.